This 281-nucleotide long non-coding RNA is filed under the name Brassica napus (rape). RNAcentral describes it as "long non-coding RNA (BNAP_LNC009367)". The record is from RNAcentral. Lineage: Eukaryota; Viridiplantae; Streptophyta; Magnoliopsida; Brassicales; Brassicaceae.
UAUUGCGUGUUGAUAUUAUUGAGUGCAGGUUCCCGUUAUCUUUAAAGAUAGUUUCUCAGUGGGAGGCUGGACUAUCUGGGUAACGGUUUGAUUGUGUUGUUUAGUAUUCAUAUUAUUGUUUAGUAGUUAGUACUAAUUGUCUUAGGCCAUAUAGGCCGGACUACUGGUACUAUUGGUUUGUGUUGUGGAGUCGUGUCUAGUUAGGAUCUGGAACUUUAUCUUUAGGUUAGGCUCUAGAUUGAGUUUGUGUUGUGUGAGUGUGCCGACAGUAUGUGCGUGAC